CAAAAGACGGGAAAUUUUUCUGGAAAGGAAUGACCCGACCCAAUCCUACAAGAAAAAUAUUGAAGGGAAAGUGGGGUGAAGGGGGGGUGGACCGGCUUUUCCCAAAAAACGGAAAAGAGGAAGCUCGUAUAAAUUCUCCUUAUCGUUUUCUGUGCUUUCGCUUCGUUCCAAUUUCGCUCCAUGAGAACACCUUUUUACUUGGAAAAAAUUAAAGGGUUUCAAGCAAACUUUUGUCUUGAAUACUUCAACAUGAAAUAAUAGCGUAGGACUUUGGUUCUAUUUGGUUGGUGUAAAAACCUUAAUAAUGGUUAAUAGGAACGGUGGGGGGGAUCCUGUUUUAACUGGCCAAGCUGAAAUUUUGUAAUUUGGUAAAGACAAACUACUGCGAAAGCUCUUGCCACGGACGAUUUCCUUAAUUUUGAACAAACUGAAAAGACCAAAACAGAAA
Molecule: ribosomal RNA, 448 nt
Filed under: Babesia sp. NJ4
Lineage: Eukaryota; Apicomplexa; Aconoidasida; Piroplasmida; Babesiidae
Description: partial 18S ribosomal RNA
Rfam family: Eukaryotic small subunit ribosomal RNA (bases 192-414)
Source: RNAcentral